This is a non-coding RNA of Cucumis melo (muskmelon), 123 nucleotides long. The record is from Rfam. Lineage: Eukaryota; Viridiplantae; Streptophyta; Magnoliopsida; Cucurbitales; Cucurbitaceae.
AUAUUUUCUUGAGUUCCCUUCCAAACACUUCAGAAGAAACAACAACCAUAGCUAAUAUCACAAAUUAAAACUUUAUGAGAUGCAACUUUCAGCUGAAGUGUUUGGGGGAACUCUGGAAGAUAU